Molecule: ribosomal RNA, 468 nt
Filed under: uncultured bacterium
Lineage: Bacteria
Description: partial 16S ribosomal RNA
Rfam family: Bacterial small subunit ribosomal RNA
Source: RNAcentral
GACGAACGCUGGCGGCGUGCUUAACACAUGCAAGUCGAACGGAAAGGCCCUGCUUUUGUGGGGUGCUCGAGUGGCGAACGGGUGAGUAAAACGUGAGUAACAUGCCCUUGACUGUGGGAUAACUUCAGGAAACUGGGGCUAAUACCGGAUAGGAGCUCCUGCUGCAUGGUGGGGGUUGGAAAGUUUCGGCGGUUGGGGAUCGACUCGCGGCUUAUCAGCUUGUUGGUGGGGUAGUGGCUUACCAAGGCUUUGACGGGUAGCCGGCCUGAGAGGGUGACCGGCCACAUUGGGACUGAGAUACGGACCAGACUCCUACGGGAGGCAGCAGUGGGGAAUAUUGCACAAUGGGCGGAAGCCUGAUGCAGCAGCGCCGCGUGCGUGAUGACGUCCUUCGGGUUGUAAACCGCUUUGGCCUGUGACGAAGCGUGAGUGACGGUAAUGGGUAAAGAAGCACCGGCUAACUACGUG